RNAcentral lists this ribosomal RNA (472 nucleotides) under uncultured bacterium. RNAcentral describes it as "bacterial SSU rRNA". It matches the Rfam family "Bacterial small subunit ribosomal RNA", at positions 28 to 524 of the family's 1533-position model. The record is from RNAcentral.
GACGAACGCUGGCGGCGUGCUUAACACAUGCAAGUCACGGGGGCUGGUGCAAACCAGUAACCGGCGAACGGGUGCGUAACACGUGAGCGACCUGCCUUAUUGAGGGGGAUAGCCGGCCCAACGGCCGGGUAAUACCGCAUACGCUUGUUUGGGGGCAUCCCUGGACAAGGAAACCUCCGGGGCGAUAAGAGGGGCUCGCGGCCUAUCAGCUAGUUGGUGAGGUAACGGCUCACCAAGGCGAUGACGGGAGCUGGUCUGAGAGGAUGGCCAGCCACAUUGGGACUGAGAGACGGCCCAGACUCCUACGGGAGGCAGCAGUGGGGAAGUCUUGGACAAUGGGCGCAAGCCUGAUCCAGCCAUGCCGCGUGAGUGAUGAAGGCCUUAGGGUUAGUAAAACUCUUUCGCCGAGGACGAUAAUGACGGUACUCGGAGAAGAAGCUCCGGCUAACUUCGUGCCAGCCGCCGCCGUAAU